UCUUCUCUUCUCUUCUCUUCUCUUCUCCUCUUUACUGUUUGUCCACUUACUACAUGAAAUUAACCUGAUACACACAGAUGCUGAAAGAACACAAUCAAGCUUCCAGGAAAGCCUCUCUUGACAUUUUAGUAAAAGUAACAGUGCUACCCAACACUGAACCAAAUGGAAAGGAAGUCUGCUUUAUUGCACAAUGGCUACUGCACUGCUGCUGAUGUCCCCAGCUCAGUAACACUGGGAUGUUUAAGCUGAGCACAAAAUCCUGAAAAGAACGGGUCUUUCCUGCAGCUGGAAAUACCUCAGAGGCAUGCACUGGUGUUCUGAUGCAGAUUGGUCUGAAGAAUUUUUUCCUGUUCUGUUUAAAACAUUAAACACAACCUUAAAUAGUAUUUCAACAACUUCUGGAGCUAACGAAUCAGGCAGAAAAGCACUUCCCAUAAUACAACAUUUUUUAAUGGGAAAUGAGGCAAAAACUCCCUAUCAACAUAAAAUACAUAUUUUUUCUAAUUAAGGAAUCUACCUAAAUCAGAGUUCGCACUCUCUAACACUUCAGCUUCCUUUGCCUCUUAAUAGCUUUUAUAUGCUUCUACUACAGCUUAAAGAAGCAGUAUAAGGUCCCUCUCCUUCCUCCAGUAUGAAAGCCUUGUGCCAAAACACAGACCCAAACAGAAACUUCCUCAGUGUACAUACAUCAAGAGAGACAAAACAGUAAGUCCACUCCAUUCAUUUGUCCUGUGAAACGCCCAGAGAUGCACAGUUCCCUUGUGACCUGCUUCCCUGUGACAGGGCUGCUUUAUGGAGGUGACAAAGGUAUGGUAUUCAUAGCACCAUAUACCUUGCCAUAGUAAACAGCUGCAUUAUCUGAAAAGGCUGAUUCAAAGCAUGAUGUGCCACACAGUUAAUAAUAGAAACUUUGUGAGACAAAACGAGGAGUGAGCAACCUAUGACUGGCAUAUUCUCAGGAAGUUGUAGCACUCAAUUGGCUCUUGGAGUAGAAUAACAUGAUUUUGCUGUUUUGACACUGUGAUGCUUGAGGAUAGUAAAAAUAUUUGAGUUAUGUCACUCUGGCAUGAGAUCUACCUGCCACCCCUUCUUAUUGCCAACAGUAAAUUUUUUUUUGUUUCCUCUAAGCAAGAGACAAUUGAAAUAUUUCUAUAAUUAUGUAAUAUUUUGGAACCUUCUUUGUAUAUAGAAGAAGACUGCACAAGGUGUUGCAGAUGGUUUGAGGAUCUUAACAUGGCCCAGAUGAUCCUAAAUUACCCACUGAUAUUUUUAUUUUCUUUAAAUCUAUGUUAUGCCUUCCCUUUCUAUAUUUCUUGGCUGAAUGAUUAAGGUCAACCACUUUUCAGCCCCAAAGGCCCAAAGCAAUUUUUUUGCUAUUGUGCAGUUAAUGUCAGGGGUUUUUUUUUUAGUUCAUUGACUUUGUUUUUUGGAUUUGGUUGCACUAUUAACACUCCCCCUGCCACAGCAGACUAGACAUGCUAAGUCUAUGCACAAAAUCUAUUUCUUCUGUCUAGGAGAUAAAAAAAUAGUGAAGACAACCUUUCUGUUAGCUUCUAUCUGGAACAGACUUCUCUGAGCAGGUGUUGAUUGUGGGAAUUUUUAAUCCAGAUUCAGAAAUCUCAGCGACAUCCUGUUUUCUGAAAGGUGAUGUGAAGCAUUUUCUCAUGAUAAGGACUUUAAUAUAUUCCUUUAAGGAAUCUCAUAUUUUGCAACUGAAAUUAACAGAUCCAUUGGGGGGAAAAAAAAUACUUUCUUGGUUUUGCUGAAAUUUCUUCAUUUUUAUUCCUCAAUCCUAUGAAAAGGCAGUAUAACCACAAGAUCCUUGCCUUGGAUGGUCCCACUAUUGUAUACCUGCAUUACAAUGUCUUUCUCAGUUUUGACAAGUAGUUACAGCAAACACUACAGCAAUAUUGAGAACCAGCCAGCUGGGCUUUUUAAGUGCUCUUUAAAACACAAGAGAUGUCCAAGCAGGGAGGCAAUCACUAGAAGACAGACAUAGGUAACCCAGAAAAGCAUAUGCCAUUUUGCCUUUCUAAUUUUUAGUUAAAUUACAAAAAUAUUACUGUUUAGUUCAGGUGCGUUUAAGUUUGGUUUUUUCCCUAAGAGUAUUUUUCUAGGAAGCCUUGCAUAAGCAUGUAUCUUUUAAGGAUAUGAAACAGAAAAAGCAGGACUAUGAAAACAAAAAUCAAAGUGAGGCAGCUUAAAAUUCACCAGUACUCAGUGUGACAGUCGCCAGCAUAUUUCUCACACUUCAAGAUUAUUGUCUUAGCAUAAAACAGCUUAUAGGGGGGAAAAAAAAGGCAUGUACAUGAACUUUUACUGAAGUUAAUGUGAUGUUCUGUGGGACUGGUAGUUAAAUGGACUGGUGCCUGUCGACUGUGCUAUCAUUUCAGUGUGUAAAACCAAUUUGCUUGCAAGCAGUCCAUGUGUCAUUAGCAUUAUAAGUGCUACAAGAAAAUAAUUAGGUUCUAGUGCA
This is a long non-coding RNA of Corvus hawaiiensis (hawaiian crow), 2476 nucleotides long. RefSeq lists it as uncharacterized. The transcript has 4 exons. Lineage: Eukaryota; Metazoa; Chordata; Aves; Passeriformes; Corvidae. The record is from RefSeq and is a predicted model, not a curated record.